Molecule: transfer RNA, 78 nt
Filed under: Pseudomonas fluorescens A506
Lineage: Bacteria; Pseudomonadati; Pseudomonadota; Gammaproteobacteria; Pseudomonadales; Pseudomonadaceae
Description: tRNA-His
Rfam family: tRNA
About the family: Transfer RNA (tRNA) molecules are approximately 80 nucleotides in length. Their secondary structure includes four short double-helical elements and three loops (D, anti-codon, and T loops).
Source: RNAcentral
GGUGGGCGUAGCUCAGUUGGUAGAGCACGGGAUUGUGACUCCCGUUGUCGAGGGUUCGAUCCCCUUCGUCCACCCCAU